AAUGAACGCUGGCGGCGUGCUUAACACAUGCAAGUCGUGCGCGAAGGUGGCUUCGGCUGCCGGAGAGCGGCGAACGGGUGAGUAACACGUGGGUGAUCUGCCUGGGGGCGGGGGAUAACCUGGGGAAACUCGGGCUAAUACCGCAUACGUUGGCGGGUUUACGGACUCGUCAAGAAAGCUGGCCUCUGCUUGCAAGCUAGCGCUCCCAGAGGAGCCCGCGGCUGAUAGCUAGUUGGUGAGGUAAUGGCUCACCAAGGCGACGAUCAGUAGCCGGCCUGAGAGGGUGAUCGGCCACACUGGGACUGAGACACGGCCCAGACUCCUACGGGAGGCAGCAGUGGGGAAUAUUGGACAAUGGGCGCAAGCCUGAUCCAGCAACGCCGCGUGGAGGAUGAAGGUCUUCGGA
This 406-nucleotide ribosomal RNA is filed under the name uncultured bacterium. RNAcentral's name for it is "bacterial SSU rRNA". It matches the Rfam family "Bacterial small subunit ribosomal RNA", at positions 28 to 422 of the family's 1533-position model. The record is from RNAcentral.